GGCUAAAGUUGUAGUGGUGUUUCAAAUAAGAAACUAGUGUAGCACUCCAUUCUAAACCAAAAGGAGUCUAUGGAGAGGUUGAAGAAAUCUACUAAAGACUUUGUUUGUAUGCAUAGAGAAUUUCAGUCUAAAGCCUAUGAGUGUUUGUAGUAUACUUUUUUUGGUAAAUUUCUUAGAAAGGUGAUGAUGCCCCAGAUCAAAUCAAACUUGCCUUGGUUGAUUUAUAGAAAGGGUUCAACACCUUCUCGAUUACCAAUAUGACAAAUGGAUUUUGUUUUAUCAAAUGUCAUUCAUUGGAAAUUUUUUAUAAAGUGUUAUGGGAAGGGCCUUGGACCAUAGGGGGACUAAUUCUUAAACUCACUCCUUAGAAGGAACAUUUCCAGCAACUUUUUGAAAAGUUAAAUCUAGCAGCCAUUUCAAUCCAAUUUCACCAUUUACCUAUAUAGGUCCUUGGAGUUGGAAACUCUAGAAACUACUGAAGCUCAAUUUAAAAGAUUUUAAAGAUUGAUGGUUAUACUUUAAACGCCUCUGGGACUUAAUUAGCCAAGAUUUGUGUAGGGCUUGAUUUGGCUAAGCCUUUCAAGGGAGGGUGUUAUAUUGGAGAUGAGGAAAAAAAAGUUAUGGUUGCAAUACUUUACAAAAUCCUCCCAAUUUCUUACUAUAAUUGUCAGCAAUAUGGUAGCUAACUAAGAUCAAAUAACCUACAAUCCAAAAGGUGGAGAGGUGAAUUGUGAUGGUUUCGCAUCUGUCAAGCACCAAAGUUUACAAGCCAUGUAAAUGGAUUUGGUUUGUGAAUAAGUUGAAGUUCCUUUAAUUCCGGCCUCUGUUGUACCAUUGCAAACCAAGUUGGAGUUGAUGUAAGAAUCUAAUAGCAGCUUUGGACCUUGGAUAGUUGUUUAGCAUCGUUAUGGAUGAGAACAUUACUUAGGACCUAGCAUUGCUCCUCAGUAGGGCAUGUGGUUGCAUAACCUCAUCGAACACAUGCCCUUCACACCGUGAUUCACUACAUGUGAUGAUUUCUGGAGAUGAUAAAGCUACACGUGGAUGGAAAGGAUUACACCAUAGGGAUGGCUUGGAUUGUCUAGGGAAUGUUUUCCUUUUUUGUGGAUUAUUUUGUUAAUGGAGACAUUGACGAUGGAGAGAACAAGGUAAAGGAUUUAGAAUUAAUAAAGUUACAGGUAGAUCCGUUAAGGAUCUAUUCUCUAUUCCAAAAUCUUAUUUCUAUCGGUCCAAAAAUCCUCUAUAGCCUCUCUUACUCAACCCUAAGGAAAUAAAAGAGUACUUCUGCUUCCUCGUCUUUCCAAAAUAAGAUAAUAUGUAGGAAUGACCAUGGACGAGGGAGUCCCUCCACACUUAUUCCAUCAUCCCAGGCUGGGGUCCUCGUCCCUAUCCCAAUUGGGCAAUCAGGGAGGGAAAGCCCAUACUCCUUGCCCUACCCUCAUAAUUUAAAAAACAUAAAAACAAAAAAAUUUGAGGACUUGGAUAAAUUUUAAAUUAAACAAGCAUGGAGUAAAAAGUCGUCAAAUUCAUCUAAAGCACCACGAGCUCUAAUCAAGAAAUUUAGAAAGAGUUGGCAAAUGCUUGUGCAACGGAGAUGGCACGUGCUCUUGUUGAUGAUAUUGGGGAUAACUAUUUUUUCCUUAUGAUUGAUGAUCUACUGGGAUGUCUUAGUGAAGCAACAAAUGAGAGUUGUUUUGCCAUAUAUGAUAGGGUCACCUCGGCCUUUUAUUUCAUUGAAGAAUGCCAUUAAUUGCCUAUUUGGCAAACACGAGUUAUCUCUUUCAAGGCUGAGGGCACAAGGAUAUGAUGGGGCCUUAAAUAUGAGGGGUGAAUUCUAUGGUUUGAAGGCACUUAUUCUAAGAGAAAAUCUAUAUGCAAGCUAUGUCCAUUGUUUUUCUUACCAACUCCAAUUAGUGAUUAUUAUUAUUGCUAAAGACAAUCGGAUUGUGAGGGAUUUUUGUUUCAAUAUAUUAUUAUGAUUGUUAAUGUGGAUGUAGUGUUGUGCAGAAAGAGAGGCCAACUUCAACAUCAUCACCAUGAUAGCGAAUUUGAUGAGCAAUUGGAGCGGGUAAAGAUAGUGGCAAAAG
This is a long non-coding RNA of Dioscorea cayenensis subsp. rotundata (Guinea yam), 2087 nucleotides long. RefSeq lists it as uncharacterized. The record is from RefSeq and is a predicted model, not a curated record. The transcript has 3 exons. NCBI's taxonomy places the organism in Eukaryota, Viridiplantae, Streptophyta, Magnoliopsida, Dioscoreales, Dioscoreaceae.